GGAGCUUGUGAAUACCUUGGAAAGCAGAAAGGUGAAUAUUGCUUGCGUUCAGGAGACUAAAUGGGUAGAAGAGAAAAGCAAGGAAAUGGGUAAUUCAGGGUGCAAACUGUGAUUUACCGGAAAGGAAAGAAAUAAGAAUGGUGUGGGCAUAAUCAUAGACAUGACGUUGAAAGAUGCUGUAAUACCUGUGAAAAGAGUAGGAGAUAAAA
This 209-nucleotide unclassified non-coding RNA is filed under the name Hevea brasiliensis (rubber tree). The record is from RNAcentral. Lineage: Eukaryota; Viridiplantae; Streptophyta; Magnoliopsida; Malpighiales; Euphorbiaceae.